GUGGGACUUUCAUGAAAAUCGUGUUUCUGUCUUUGGAGUGCUAAUGUUUGGGAUUCUUCGGGGUCUGUGUGCUGUUUCAGCUGAUACAGAAACAGAGAAGGUGCUCAAAGUUGGGAGCUCCCUGGAUCUAACAGUCAUCAUAAUAGCCAGGAUGCUGUAACUGUAACUGAGGAAUAAGCAAAUGACUCUCUUUGGUUCCAAAUUCACAACUUUACUGAAGCUGCAAAAAAAACUCAGCUUAAAUUAUCCCCAAUUUCUUUUAUUUUGUAUAUAUUAUCUGCAUUUACAUUCAGAUCUCAGGGCCACAGUAUAUUUUACUGUUCUUAUAUUUGCAUUAUUCUGGAAAAGUCCCACUGUGUUUCCAUGUCCUGUAGAGAAUAUCCUGAGAACAAACCUCCAUUAAUCUUCUCUGUAUUCUACCAGAGAGACUAUAGUGACAUCCUGUUUAAUCACAUACUGCUAUUCCAGUAGCAACAUCUUGUAAUGUGAUAUUUUUGUAUUAUGUGAAGCUUUUUAUAACAGCUGGCACUGUAAAUCAGACUGUUUGAAUAAUUAUAACACGUUAUAAAUCUGCACACUCCACAUUAUUUUUACAUUGUUCCAAUUUCAAUACCUGUGUCUGUAUUUGUAUUAUGUUUAUGUUUAGACUAAACCAAAGCUAAAAGGUAUAAAAUAAAAAUUAAAAUACUGGCUACAGCAUUCUGUGUAUUUUUUUUAGCCACCCACAUAAAACAUUAAUAGACUGAGUAACCUCAGAUAUGUAUUGAGUGAGGACAUGCUUCUGCUGUCUUUUGCUAGUGUUAUUUACUAAAGUAGAGCUGCAACAGUGCAGAGUUAUAAUACAGCAAUGCAGGACUUUAACGGAUAUCGUGUUUCCUUUGCUGGAGUG
Long non-coding RNA from Hemibagrus wyckioides, 889 nucleotides. RefSeq lists it as uncharacterized. The record is from RefSeq and is a predicted model, not a curated record. NCBI's taxonomy places the organism in Eukaryota, Metazoa, Chordata, Actinopteri, Siluriformes, Bagridae. The transcript is spliced from 3 exons.